GCAGGCGUGGCGGAACUGGUAGACGCGCACGGUUCAGGGCCGUGUGGAAGUUAUUCCGUGAGAGUUCGACUCUCUCCGCCUGCACCA
Molecule: transfer RNA, 87 nt
Filed under: Patescibacteria group bacterium
Lineage: Bacteria
Description: tRNA-Leu
Rfam family: tRNA
About the family: Transfer RNA (tRNA) molecules are approximately 80 nucleotides in length. Their secondary structure includes four short double-helical elements and three loops (D, anti-codon, and T loops). Further hydrogen bonds mediate the characteristic L-shaped molecular structure. tRNAs have two regions of fundamental functional importance: the anti-codon, which is responsible for specific mRNA codon recognition, and the 3' end, to which the tRNAs corresponding amino acid is attached (by aminoacyl-tRNA synthetases). tRNAs cope with the degeneracy of the genetic code in two manners: having more than one tRNA (with a specific anti-codon) for a particular amino acid; and 'wobble' base-pairing, i.e. permitting non-standard base-pairing at the 3rd anti-codon position.
Source: RNAcentral